This 492-nucleotide ribosomal RNA is filed under the name uncultured bacterium. RNAcentral's name for it is "partial 16S ribosomal RNA". It matches the Rfam family "Bacterial small subunit ribosomal RNA", at positions 28 to 507 of the family's 1533-position model. The record is from RNAcentral.
GAUGAACGCUAGCUACAGGCUUAACACAUGCAAGUCGAGGGGAAACGGCAUUAAGUGCUUGCACUUUUUGGACGUCGACCGGCGCACGGGUGAGUAACGCGUAUCCAACCUUCCCAUGACUAAGGGAUAACCUGCCGAAAGGCAGACUAAUACCUUAUGGUCUUCACUGACGGCAUCAGAUGUGAAGUAAAGAUUUAUCGGUUAUGGAUGGGGAUGCGUCUGAUUAGCUUGUUGGCGGGGUAACGGCCCACCAAGGCAACGAUCAGUAGGGGUUCUGAGAGGAAGGUCGCCCACAUUGGAACUGAGACACGGUCCAAACUCCUACGGGAGGCAGCAGUGAGGAAUAUUGGUCAAUGGGCGAGAGCCUGAACCAGCCAAGUAGCGUGCAGUAUGACGGCCCUAUGGGUUGUAAACUGCUUUUGUAUGGGGAUAAAGUCAAUCACGUGUGAUUGUUUGCAGGUACCAUACGAAUAAGGACCGGCUAAUUCCGUG